RNAcentral lists this ribosomal RNA (561 nucleotides) under uncultured bacterium. RNAcentral's name for it is "partial 16S ribosomal RNA". It matches the Rfam family "Bacterial small subunit ribosomal RNA", at positions 355 to 1375 of the family's 1533-position model. The record is from RNAcentral.
UGGGGAAUAUUGGACAAUGGGGGCAACCCUGAUCCAGCCACGCCGCGUGAGUGAUGAAGGCCUUCGGGUUGUAAAGCUCUUUUGGCGGGGACGAUGAUGACGGUACCCGCAGAAUAAGCCCCGGCUAACUUCGUGCCAGCAGCCGCGGUAAGACGAAGGGGGCUAGCGUUGUUCGGAAUUACUGGGCGUAAAGCGAGUGUAGGCGGUUGCCGUAGUCAGGUGUGAAAGCCUUGAGCUCAACUCAAGAAAUGCACUUGAUACUGGGUGACUAGAGGACCGGAGAGGAUAGUGGAAUUCCCAGCGUAGUGGUGAAAUACGUAGAGAUUGGGAAGAACACCAGUGGCGAAGGCGGCUAUCUGGACGGUUACUGACGCUAAGACUCGAAAGCGUGGGGAGCAAACAGGAUUAGAUACCCUGGUAGUCCACGCCGUAAACGAUGGGUGCUAGACGUUGGCGAGCUUGCUCGUCAGUGUCGCAGCUAACGCGUUAAGCACCCCGCCUGGGGAGUACGGCCGCAAGGUUGAAACUCAAAUGAAUUGACGGGGUCAUAGCUGUUUUCCU